UACGAAGGGGGCUAGCGUUGUUCGGAAUUACUGGGCGUAAAGGGCGCGUAGGCGGCCUGCUAUGUCGAACGUGAAAUCCCCGGGCUCAACCCGGGAACUGCGUCCGAAACUGGCAGGCUUGAAUCCGGGAGAGGGAUGUGGAAUUCCAGGUGUAGCGGUGAAAUGCGUAGAUAUCUGGAGGAGCACCGGUGGCGAAGGCGGCAUCCUGGACCGGUAUUGACGCUGAGGCGCGAAAGCCAGGGGAGCAAACGGG
RNAcentral lists this ribosomal RNA (253 nucleotides) under uncultured bacterium. RNAcentral's name for it is "partial 16S ribosomal RNA". It matches the Rfam family "Bacterial small subunit ribosomal RNA", at positions 524 to 776 of the family's 1533-position model. The record is from RNAcentral.